Molecule: ribosomal RNA, 239 nt
Filed under: uncultured bacterium
Lineage: Bacteria
Description: partial 16S ribosomal RNA
Rfam family: Bacterial small subunit ribosomal RNA
Source: RNAcentral
CGAGUGGCGGACGGGUGAGUAAUGCGUAGGAAUCUACCUAGUUGAGUGGGAUAGCCUGGGAAACUUAGGGUAAUACCGCAUAAGUCUUACGGGAGAAAGCAGGGGACUGUUAAAGGCCUUGCGCGAUUAGAUGAGCCUACGUCGGAUUAGCUUGUUGUGGGGUAAAGGCCUACCAAGGCGAUGAUCCGUAGCUGGUCUGAGAGGACGACCAGCCACACUGGGACUGAGACACGGCCCAG